RNAcentral lists this ribosomal RNA (261 nucleotides) under uncultured bacterium. RNAcentral describes it as "partial 16S ribosomal RNA". It matches the Rfam family "Bacterial small subunit ribosomal RNA", at positions 524 to 776 of the family's 1533-position model. The record is from RNAcentral.
UACAGAGGUCUGCAAGCGUUGUUCGGAUUCAUUGGGCGUUAAAGGGGUGUGAGUAGGUGGGCGCGCUAAGUCGGGUUGUGAAAUUUCGGAGCUUAACUCCGAAACUGCAUUCGAUACUGGCGUGCUUGAGGACUGGAGAGGAGACUGGAAUUUACGGUGUAGCAGUAGAAAUGCGUAGAUAUCGUAAGGAAGACCAGUGGCGAAGGCGGGUCUCUGGACAGUUCCUGACACUGAGACACGAAGGCCAGGGGAGCAAACGGG